UACAGAGGGUGCAAGCGUUGUUCGGAAUUAUUGGGCGUAAAGAGCGCGCAGGCGGUCGUGCAAGUCGCGUGUGAAAGCCCCCGGCUCAACUGGGGAGGGUCACGCGAUACUGCUCGACUCGAAGGCAGGAGAGGGAAGUGGAAUUCCCGGUGUAGUGGUGAAAUGCGUAGAUAUCGGGAGGAACACCAGUGGCGAAGGCGACUUCCUGGCCUGUUCUUGACGCUGAGGCGCGAAAGCUAGGGUAGCAAACGGG
Molecule: ribosomal RNA, 253 nt
Filed under: uncultured bacterium
Lineage: Bacteria
Description: partial 16S ribosomal RNA
Rfam family: Bacterial small subunit ribosomal RNA
Source: RNAcentral